This is an RNA transcript of Solanum dulcamara, 3101 nucleotides long. It is a transcript of the gene named E3 ubiquitin ligase PQT3-like, with no coding region annotated. The record is from RefSeq and is a predicted model, not a curated record. NCBI's taxonomy places the organism in Eukaryota, Viridiplantae, Streptophyta, Magnoliopsida, Solanales, Solanaceae. The transcript has 17 exons.
GUUACUUAUUUAGCCCCUUUCCCUGAAGAACCCUCGAAUCUAUCACACUCUAUACGCAUAAAGAGAGACGAUUCGAAGAUCAAUUAAAUUGGGUCUGGUUGGUAGAAAGAAUGUCAAUUCGCUUCAAAUUCAGGAGUUGUACAAAAUUUGAUUCUGUUGAUAUAGACGGCCGGCCCUCUAUCUCUUUGCGGGAACUGAGGUGGAAGAUCGCCCGCCAAAAGAAACUCAACAUUGGUCAGGACUUGGAUAUCAUUUUCUUCGAUGCCCUCUCCGAACAAGAGUAUAAAGAUGAAAAUUUUCAGAUUGCUAGUGGGUCUAGUGUAAUUGUCAAGAGAGUUCCUGCUGGAAUGAUUCCUUCAACUGUUAAUAACAGGCCACCUAUUGGUACCAUGAAGGAUUUAGGGUUGAAAGAUGUUGAUCGUAUUAAUCAUGUGGAUGGGCAAGUCAAUGAGUUUCAUGACUUUGGGGCUGACAUUUGUCCGGCGGCUGAGGGAAUAUUUCCCAACAUUGAUGUAGGAUUUGGUCAUAAGAACUGCUGGGACUUUGAGAAAGAGAACCUCGCAGGUCCAAGGUUUCAGUAUCAAAAGCUUGAUUCCAGAGGCUUGAAUCAGGCUAUCCAUAGAGGUUCUAAUCAUAGCAAGAUCUCAACAAAGUUACCUGGACCAAAAACUCCUGAUGCACCGACACUGCACAAGGUGAUACGCUCCAAUUUUCCAGCUGUUCCCAAUAAUGUUUUGCCGGUUGAACUGAAAUGCUCUCUCUGCAAUACCUUCUUUAAGGAUGCUGUGAUGAUACCUUGCUGCCAGCACAGUUUUUGUGAGAAAUGCAUUCGUCUGGCUCUUCUAGAAAAGGUGAAGUGCCCAAAAUGCCCUUCUAGCAGAUAUAAAGUGGAAGAUCUGCUACCAAAUUUAUCUCUCAGGCAAGCAAUUGAGCAUUUUCUUGAAUCCCAGAUGGUUGCUGCUGAGUCAGAAAAUGCUUUACGCAGAUAUGUUCCAGAUGGUGAAUCUGGCAUUCAGGUGAAGGAUAUUUCUUGUGCUGUAACUGUUGUGCAACGAGAACCGGAGAUGCCUCAGUCACCCUCAGCUACUGGAAAAGGAUCUAAUCAAGUUAUGGCAGAAUCAUUUUAUGACUCACUUGUUAGGAAAAAAUCAUUGUCUAGGACAAUGCAACAAAUAGAUGGAGGAAGAGGUCGAUAUGCUAAUCCUUGGAAUUUUCCAAGUGUACCUGAUGACCCAGAAGAUUGUCAAGGUGAAAGCAAGCCUCUUAAUUUGCUUCAUUCCCAUGCUCAAGAGAAAGUCAAUUCUUCCAUCAAGAAGAAUAAAGGCCCAUGGUGUGACACAAGAGGUGGGAACAUGAAUUUUCUGCCUACUAGUAGAGUUAAAAAGGACCGUAAUUGUUACGUGUGUGGUUCUCCUGACCAUCUCAUCAGAGACUGUCCUCUUGCUUCCAAUCCAAAUCCAAUGCUUCAAACAGGAAACCUCAUGCUUACGGGAGGAUUUCCAACCUAUCCAUCACCUUACUGGAAUAACAAUACCUAUUCCACAUUAAGGCCAUUGGAAGAUAUGUAUGGUAAUGCUGGAAAUGCUCCAUUUAAUGCUUCUAUGGUUUCUCCAACACCUUACAUUCAUCCUUAUAUGCAAUCUAUGCAUGCUGGCAUGCCUUUACGUGGAGAAAUCAUGAGAAUGGGUGGUAUGGCACUUCCAGCUGGAAACAGAGAUGAUCUACCAUUGAACCAAUAUGAGUACAUGGGCCUCCAGCUUGCUGAAGAUAAAAGGAGAAUUCAGAAUGAAAAAAUAGGAAGAGGGCAAUAUUGUCACGCUGAGUCUAACUUUAAGGAGCUUUUCCCAAAUACUGAUCGAGAAGUGACAGGAAAGUUCCACAAGGAGAGGGAACCAUGUACAAGUUGUUCUGAUGAUAGCUUUGCUCGCAAAACACACAGAAAGCACCUCCAUGUUGAGAAAAGAAGGGAGAAAAGUCGUCAUUCCUCAUCUGCUAGCAGAGACAAAGUGACUCGUCACUCUGACAGGUCUAAUGAUGGUUUUCCUAGUAGUUCUGAUAGGCGUAGGAGAGAAAGUCAUCAACACCAUAGUCGGGACUCUAGAAAGCGCCAUGAAUGUGAUUUCACUUUGGAUCACUAUCAAGUCUCUGAUCGUAAACGUGGAGUCAAUUGUCAUGAAAGAGACUCUCAUCAUAAACAUCUCUCAAGUUCUGCACUAGAACCUACUUCACCUUUGCAUCAGACGGCACGAUCCAAAGAGAGGAGGGGUUUUGGGCAUGACACAAAGUACUGCAGGCACCAUGCAAGACACCCCACCGAUGAGGUAUGUGACAACAAGAAACGGACGAGUAGCGGCUCUUAUGAAGAUAGCAGAGACGGUUAUCAUCACAAGCGAAAAAGAGUUCAUUGAGAGUAAUGAAGGUGAACUUGUAAAUGAAGUUGCGCAUACAUCAAUUGUGAGGUCUGGAUGCCAGACAAAGGUUUUAACCAGAAGCCAUCUGGUUACAAGUAGUAUUUUGGAUCAUUUUAUAUGCUGCCCAACAAUCGUUUUGGACAAAGGUAUGGAAGCUGAUGUUGAGGUUAUCUGAUAUUCUAGCAGGGGAUAUUGCCGAUUUAUUAUUUGAGAGUUGUCCCAAUCAGUAUCAUAUUGUAGCAAUGGAGUACUUUUUGGAAAAAUUGGUUUGGUUUGGUAUCCUAUACUACCACGCUGGGCUGUGCGGGGUUUAAAUUGAAUAGGUAAUCUUUUAGAUUAAGCAGUUUUAAAACGUUGUAUGUUGACAAGGAGUCUUAAAUUUUAUUUGAAAUAGAACUCUAUCGUAUAGUACGCUAUGAAAUAUUUCUAAAAAGUCGUUUUCUAAUAGUACAUCUUGUCUUGUAUUAUAAAAAUAAAAUGAGGGAUAUUUUAUUAAAAAAUAUUCUAAUAGUAUAAUCGGCUGAGCAAUGCCUCUAGACAUUGUUACAAUAUUAUUUGAUAUAUCUCUUCUUUUGAUAAUAGGUAAUUCUUGAUGGUACUCUUUGGGAAAUAUUUCUGAUCUACAACAACAUUUUUUCGGUCCAUUAUUUAUAUAAGCAGCAAAAUAUUCUGCUUUAUAAUCUUUAUACG